RNAcentral lists this transfer RNA (76 nucleotides) under Camelus bactrianus (Bactrian camel). It matches the Rfam family "tRNA". From Rfam's summary of the family: Transfer RNA (tRNA) molecules are approximately 80 nucleotides in length. Their secondary structure includes four short double-helical elements and three loops (D, anti-codon, and T loops). RNAcentral also lists the same sequence under 1 other name. Lineage: Eukaryota; Metazoa; Chordata; Mammalia; Artiodactyla; Camelidae. The record is from Rfam by way of RNAcentral.
GAGGGUAUAGCUCAAGUGGUCAAGCGCAUGCUUAGCAUGCAUGAUGAGGUCCUGGGUUCAAUCCCUAGUACCUCCU